Molecule: transfer RNA, 70 nt
Filed under: Dipodomys ordii (Ord's kangaroo rat)
Lineage: Eukaryota; Metazoa; Chordata; Mammalia; Rodentia; Heteromyidae
Rfam family: tRNA
About the family: Transfer RNA (tRNA) molecules are approximately 80 nucleotides in length. Their secondary structure includes four short double-helical elements and three loops (D, anti-codon, and T loops).
Source: Rfam by way of RNAcentral
GGGAAUGUGGCUUAGUGGUAGAGUGCUUGCCUAGCAUGCAUGAAGUCAUGGGUUCAAUUCCUCUGUGCCA